Molecule: long non-coding RNA, 3329 nt
Organism: Limulus polyphemus (Atlantic horseshoe crab)
Lineage: Eukaryota; Metazoa; Arthropoda; Merostomata; Xiphosura; Limulidae
Exons: 2
Source: RefSeq, a predicted model, not a curated record
AUUCUUACAAAUAAAAUAUUAUUAGUUGGAAAAAAGCUCAAAGGUACUUAUAGUUUUAUAUAUUUGGAAAUGGAAAUGUAUUUUAGUAAUGCAGUCUAACGUAUUGCUCGUUAUAGCCAUUCAGCGAGCCAUAAACACCUGAAAGAAAACAGCAAAAAAACACAAUGUUAAUUACUCGUAAAUUUAUUAGAAGCAACGAUUUUAAAGCUGAACUAACCUGGAUAUUUUUGGCCUUAGCUUAUCAACAUGUAAGCCGUGUUUAAUAUGGAGGACUUGUUUAUUAUUGGCCCUUAUUAUAAUAUUAAACUAAUUUGAAUGUAUAUGUAUUCACACUUUAAUAUUAUACACUUGACUUGUUCGGUAUUCUAAAACUUGUGUGUUUUUCACUUGCAUCAGCAGCAGUCUUGUAGUAAAAGUGAUUUAAUCUUGCUCGUGAUGAGGACAGGUAAACUUCUGAAGAAGUACAACAGAUAACAUCCUGACCAGUUUUAAAAUGUAGGUAUUCUCUACAAAGCAGGGGUGAGACGUUUCUUUUUAGCAUACAAAGAAUUUUUUAAAACUGAACAUUUAGAAACUUCAUACAUUGAUAGUUUUGUAUGUUCAGGUAGUCGUGAAUUACUUGAUCGAUCAAAUAAAUAGAAAAACCAUUUUUGUCUAUACAUUUGUGUUAUAAAACUCUAUGCAUAUAUUUAUAGGUGCUUGAUAAUUUGUAUAUGCACAAGGAACUGGUAUUUUCAAGUUUUAUUUAAUACACAGUUGGUAAAAUCCAAGUAUAAAAGAUACUAAAUGCUUUUUUAUGGUAAACCUUACAUUCCGAUUUUCCAUUACAGCUAUGGACUUCUGUGUAUACAAAUACAAGAUUAUGUUCAUACUGUGUAUACAAAUACAAGAUUAUGUUCAUACUGUGUAUACAAAUACAAGAUUAUGUUCAUACUGUGUAUACAAAUACAAGAUUAUGUUCAUACUGUGUAUACAAAUACAAGAUUAUGUUCAUACUGUGUAUACAAAUACAAGAUUAUGUUCAUACUGUGUAUACAAAUACAAGAUUAUGUUCAUACUGUGUAUACAAAUACAAGAUUAUGUUCAUACUGUGUAUACAAAUACAGGAUUAUGUUCAUACUGAUGUUUAACAGUAAAUCUAAUACUCGUAUACCUGCUAUUUUAAAUAUUCCAAAAAGUGAGGAACAUGAACCGAGUCAUUGAUUUAUUUCGAUCAACUUUGUUUAAAGAAAACUUUGUCAAUCUUGUAGUUUCAAAUGCCUAUGAAUUUUUGGAUAAAUAGUUUAACAAUAUACAAAAAAUAAAUGUCUACACAAAAUUGGAUUUCAUGUUUAUUUUACUUAUCAAGUAAUUUGUGGCUAGUUGAACGAACAAAACUUAAGUAAAAUUUCAACAUAUGAAGUUUGUAAAUGUUCACGCUGUAUAACCUUACCAUAUAUUGGUAUAUUUUUUACAUGUUAAAAAUCAACUACUUACCCCUUCCCUCGUAUGUACAACUGAUGAAUUUUUAAACCAGGAUUUCAUCUGCAGUAUUUCUUCACCUGUAAAGAUUAUAUUUCUACAUUGAAAACAUAAAUUUAUCUGUUAGUUUGGUUCUAAUAUAAGGUAGCUGCUGACAUGAGUGACAGAAUAUUGAAAUCUAAGAAUACUCUAUAAAUCAAGUGUAUUAGAGCAGGCCAUAGAUCAGUAAAGCAUAUUCAAUUAUUCAAAUUAUUUUAUUAAGAUCUUUAUUAUUAGAGCCAAUAAUGGACAAAGCUUGCAUAUAAAAGAGAGCUUAUGUCACUUUUAGCUGAGGCCAAAAAUGACUAUGAUUAGAUCAUCUUGUGAAUUGCUGUUUGUUUUAUAAAUGUAAAGAAACUUUUCCUCUAUUUAUAGCUACAUGUAAACUCCCACAAAUGUGUGUCACUAGUUUCAACCUUUGACCUAUAUCAGUCAGGUGUGGAUAGGUGAUUUCAACUACGCAGUUUGUCUGCACGUCGAAAAAUACAUCAAACGUCCAGUGUUAAAGUAAUAUUAAUUCUUUCUCCAAUGAUUUCCAGAAACAAAGAAGAAUAAGAUAUGUGAACCUCCAUGGAGUUUCUGACAAAAAAGAAUUAACUUGAGAUAAUUUAGAUAAAGUAAAACCAUAAAUAUAACCACCUUAACAAAUAUUGACUUUUAUAAUACAAAAUAAUGAGAUAUGUAUCAUCCAUGGUGUAUAGGUUAAUAACAUCAGUGCAAAGUACACACUGUAGGUAUUGUCUUACAGUUCCGUGAUGUAACAUGUAGUUUUAUAAUGUUAGUGAAAAGUCAACACUGUAGGUAUUGUGUUAGUUCCAUGAUACAACAUGAACUUUAAUAAUGUUAGUGAAAAGUCAACACUGUAGGUAUUAUGUUUGUUCCAUGAUGUAACAUGUAGUUUAAUAAUGUUAGUGAAAAGUCAACACUGUAGGUAUUGUGUUAGUUCCAUGAUACAACAUGAACUUUAAUAAUGUUAGUGAAAAGUCAACACUAUAGGUAUUGUCUUAACGUUCCAUGAUGUAACAUGUAGUUUAAUAAUGUUAGUGAAAAGUCAACACUAUAGGUAUUGUGUUAGUUCCAUGAUACAACAUGAACUUUAAUAAUGUUAGUGAAAAGUCGGUGCUGUAGGCAUUAUCUUAGUUACAUCAUCUGAAGUGCCGUUUAAUAAUGUUAGUGAAAAGUCAACACUAAAGGGUUUACCUUACAGUCCCCUGAUCUUAUGUGUAGUUUAAUACUGUUUGUGAAAAGUCAACACUGUAGAUAUUAUCUUAACGUAUACAGUGUGUAGUUUAAUGAUGUUAGUGAAAAGUCUAACACUGUAGGUAUUAUCUUAACAUUACAUGUUGCAAUGUGUAGCUCAAUAGUGUUAGUGAAAAUUCAACACUAUAGGUAUUUUCUUAACAUUCCAUGAUGAAACCUAGUUUGAUAAUGUUAGUGAAAAGUCAACACUGUAGGUAAUUUGUUACAGUUUCAAGAUGUAACAUGUAGUUUAAUAAUCUUAUUGAAAAGUCAACACCAUAGAUAUUAUCAGUUGCCUGAUGUAUCAUGUAGUUUAAUAAAGUUAGUAUAAAAAAAGCCAAAUGUAAUACACAAUUUAAUAAUGUUAGUGAAAGUCAACACUGUAGGUAUUAUCUUACCAUUACAUGAUGUUACAGGUAGUUUAAUAAUAUAAAUAAAAAAGGUAAAUGUUUAGGGAAUACAUGCCUUGCUAAGUUUCAUCUUCCAUUUUCCAAAGUAAAGGAAAAAUAAAAACAAUACAUGUUUUGAUGCCAAACAGAAAUAAGCUUUAUUAUUGCUACUGUAAUCCUGAUUUAGUUUUAUAGAGUAUU